This 2425-nucleotide long non-coding RNA is filed under the name Homo sapiens (human). RNAcentral describes it as "HSALNT0375910". The record is from RNAcentral. Lineage: Eukaryota; Metazoa; Chordata; Mammalia; Primates; Hominidae.
AGCGAAGGGGUGGGGUGGGAUCUUGGUCCAGCUGGUACUGGAGCGGCGACAAUUUUGGCUAGUCUAAGAAGGGCAUUCGAGUGACCGUUGACAACGGGUGGGACAGCGUCAGAGCUGGAGGGAGAGCCAGCACUGUAUGCUUCCAGGACUUCUUGCUAGGUGCAUUAGUUUUUAUUUUUAAGAGUUGGGUAAAAGACAUUAAUUAGUUAGCAUCUCACUCAUCGGCGAUUUUCUACGGUAUGAUUUCAUCCAAAGAGGAUUUCUUAAUCGCACUGUGUGACACCGUUAGGGGACUUAGAGUGUCACUCGCCGCCUUAAAUCCUUUCGGGAACAAGCCAGGAUAUAAAUAAAUAAAGCUAGGUGUGGGUCUUCCCUUCACAAGGCGCUGGUAGGCAGACUAAAGACAGGCAACAGCUGAGUGUGCACACAGAACUAAAUAUUGAACGAAAUACGAGUGUCGGAAUAAAAUUCAUUGCCAUGUGCACGGCUUAUGAUUAUACAGAUCUUGGACAUAUCACGGACCUGAACGUCAACCCUGCAACACCGGAUAAAACAUCUAAUGUAGCUGGAAUAGACUCUGAAAGGACGUUAGGCAUUAUCUAAAUCAAGUCCCUCAUUUUACAGAUGAGUAAACUGACUCAGUGAAGUAUUUUGCUCAAGGUCGUUCAUCAAAUUAGUAGUUUAAUUAACUCAGUGUUCUAGGAAGCAGGGUAGUAGAAAAGCAUGGGAUUCGGAGUCUGAAAUCUUCCUUGGUUUCUGGUCCUUGUAGGCUGUUUUACAAGUGUAUCUUGGGCAAAUCCCUUAACGUCUUGCCAUUUAUUAAGGGCUUACUUACCACGUGGCAAACAAUCCACUUUGCAUGCUGUGUCAAUUACAUGCAGUAUGUCGUGUAGUUAUUACUGUCCCCAUUUUAUGAGGUAGUUUAGGUUUAAAGAUAUUAGAAAUUUACCCAAAGUUACGCAGUUAUAAACAUUGUAGUAAUUUCAAACUCAGGUCUUCGUGACUGCAAAGGCUGCUGUCUUAAGUAUUGUAAUACAUUAGAGCUCCGGAUUCCCUCCCACUCAAAACAGAGACUGAGACUCCAACCAAUUUCCACCAUUAUUGGGAGUCAAACGAGAGAGACUGUGGCAAUGUAUUCUAAGCUGUACAAAGGUAUAAACAUAUUCACUAGAUUUGUAGAAUGAAGUUAUUCCUUCCCUAUACUUUCCACUACAACAAUUCAGCCAAAAAGAUGGCUUUCAUACUAAGCAUAAGAAGGAACUUCACUGUAAUUAUGAUAUUCUAACCAAGAAUAUAUGCAUAUCUAGGCAAUAACCAAAGUGAAUAGAAUAAAAUUUAAUUCCUGAUAGAUUAAAUAGGCAAUAGCAAGGAAUGCUAACGCUCCUCAUAGCGUUCUUGUUGGAAGAAUCAUCUAGGAGGCAUUGGGAUUUCUGGUGCUUUUUAAGCAAUGAGAGAUAUCAGUCCACUGAAUGAGGAAGAGAAUAACGUUUAGUUUCGGACUAAAAGUUCAUCUGGACUACGGAAAACACGUUUGCCUCAAUCAGUGAAGAAGGUAUGCUGAGAGCUGAAAGAAAAGGAAAGCAGCAACAGUGAGAGCUCAGAAAUUCCCAGACUGUUUUGAUGAUAAGGUCCAAGAACUUGCCAUGUGAUCCAUCACUACUAGACUCCCACAACUGCAUUAGAUUUGUUCAGGAUUUUCAUAUAAUUUUCAUAACUGGCUAAGGGUAACUUGGUCACAAAAAAUGAAACAUUGUUGUAAGAAUGUAUCAAGGAAAGUGGAGCGAAAGGCCAGUAGGAAAACCAAGACUCUCUGGAGAAGUCAACAGUUCUGAAAUAACCCAUCUUGAAGACAUAAACAAUGUGCAUUGAUGGCUAGCCAGACUCUGUCCUGCCACAGUUCUCCUCCUACUCUUCAUUUCUUACCCCAAGGAGUAGUAAACAUGAAUCCUGACCCACCAAUGCAGUCCCAGAACUGAGAAAAGAUUCACUGCAGCUAAACACAUUGGAAAUGGAUGGGGAGAAGGCCUGAUGAAAAUUACUGAGGAAGCCUCUUAGCCUAUGUGCUCUGAGAGUAGUGACACCUAGCAGUCGUUCAAAAGAUGAUCAAGAGGAGCAUGAAAAAAUCCCCUGAAUCCAUUGGCUUUCUUCCCUAUACUGACAACAGUUUACUUGUGUAAGAGAUGCAUGCCUCGACUCCGGACCCCUUCUUUCAUCUGCAAAAUCAGCAGCACCCUCACAUCAUCUCCUGUAACAAACUCUCUCUGUCUCCUCCAUAUAAGGUCACUGAUGGUUACAUUUAGGGUCCAUGAUAUAAGAAGAUGGAUGUCUAUUGCUUUUCUCUUGAUAUUCAUGGCACUGCUCCUCUCCAUCCAUAGGAUUAUCUUAUAGAUGAGGGUCUCAUCCUUUUGCCCAGGCUGGAGUACAG